AGUGGGGGAUAACCUUCCCAACGGAGGGCUAAUACCCCAUAUGGCGGCAGCGGGACAUCCCGCAGCCGUGAAAGUCCUCGGACGCUUCCGGAGGAGCUCGCGCCCUAUUAGGUAGUUGGCGGGGUAACGGCCCACCAAGCCUGCGAUGGGUAGCCGACCUGAGAGGGUGACCGGCCACACUGGGACUGAGAUACGGCCCAGACUCCUACGGGAGGCAGCAGUAGGGAAUAUUGCGCAAUGGGCGAAAGCCUGACGCAGCAACGCCGCGUGGAGGAUGAAGCCUUUAGGGGUGUAAGCUCCUUUCAGGGGGGAAGAAACCUGCUCAGCAGCUGACGGUACCCCCAGAAGAAGCUCCGGCUAACUCCGUGCCAGCAGCCGCGGUAAUACGGGGGGAGCUAGCGUUGUCCGGAAUCACUGGGCGUAAAGGGUGCGUAGGCGGGAUCGCAAGUCUGCGGUGAAAACUGGCGGCUCAACUGUCAGCCUGCCGCGGAGACUGCUUUUCUUGAGUGCUGCAGAGGAAAUCGGAAUUCCUGGUGUAGCGGUGAAAUGCGUAGAUAUCAGGAAGAACACCGGUUGCGAAGGCGGGUUUCUGGGCAUGCACUGACGCUGAGGCACGAAAGCUAGGGGAGCAAACAGGAUUAGAUACCCUGGUAGUCCUAGCCGUAAACGAUGAGCACUAGGUGUCGGGAGGGCCGAUCCUCUCGGUGCCGCAGCUAACGCAUUAAGUGCUCCGCCUGGGGAGUACGCUCGCAAGGGUGAAACUCAAAGGAAUUGACGGGGGCCCGCACAAGCGGUGGAGCAUGU
Molecule: ribosomal RNA, 804 nt
Filed under: uncultured bacterium
Lineage: Bacteria
Description: bacterial SSU rRNA
Rfam family: Bacterial small subunit ribosomal RNA
Source: RNAcentral